Molecule: ribosomal RNA, 813 nt
Filed under: uncultured Elizabethkingia sp.
Lineage: Bacteria; Pseudomonadati; Bacteroidota; Flavobacteriia; Flavobacteriales; Weeksellaceae
Description: bacterial SSU rRNA
Rfam family: Bacterial small subunit ribosomal RNA
Source: RNAcentral
UCGAUUAGAGUUUGAUCCUGGCUCAGGAUGAACGCUAGCGGGAGGCCUAACACAUGCAAGCCGAGCGGUAGAGAUUCUUCGGAAUCUUGAGAGCGGCGUACGGGUGCGGAACACGUGUGCAACCUGCCUUUAUCAGGGGGAUAGCCUUUCGAAAGGAAGAUUAAUACCCCAUAAUAUAUUAACUGGCAUCAGUGAAUAUUGAAAACUACGGUGGAUAGAGAUGGGCACGCGCAAGAUUAGCUAGUUGGUGAGGUAACGGCUCACCAAGGCGACGAUCUUUAGGGGGCCUGAGAGGGUGAUCCCCCACACUGGUACUGAGACACGGACCAGACUCCUACGGGAGGCAGCAGUGAGGAAUAUUGGACAAUGGGUGGAAGCCUGAUCCAGCCAUCCCGCGUGCAGGAAGACGGCCCUAUGGGUUGUAAACUGCUUUUAUCUGGGGAUAAACCUACUUACGUGUAAGUAGCUGAAGGUACCAGAAGAAUAAGCACCGGCUAACUCCGUGCCAGCAGCCGCGGUAAUACGGAGGGUGCAAGCGUUAUCCGGAUUUAUUGGGUUUAAAGGGUCCGUAGGCGGACUAGUAAGUCAGUGGUGAAAUCCGACAGCUUAACUGUCGAACUGCCAUUGAUACUGCUAGUCUUGAGUAAGGUUGAAGUGGCUGGAAUAAGUAGUGUAGCGGUGAAAUGCAUAGAUAUUACUUAGAACACCAAUUGCGAAGGCAGGUCACUAAGUCUUAACUGACGCUGAUGGACGAAAGCGUGNGGAGCGAACAGGAUUAGAUACCCUGGUAGCCCACGCCGUANACGAUGAUUA